RNAcentral lists this ribosomal RNA (305 nucleotides) under uncultured bacterium. Its description in RNAcentral is "bacterial SSU rRNA". It matches the Rfam family "Bacterial small subunit ribosomal RNA", at positions 338 to 660 of the family's 1533-position model. The record is from RNAcentral.
CCUACGGGGGGCAGCAGUGGGGAAUUUUGCGCAAUGGGGGAAACCCUGACGCAGCAACGCCGCGUGCGGGACGAAGGCCCUCGGGCUGUAAACCGCUUUCAGCAGGGAAGACGUCGACGGUACCUGCAGAAGAAGCCCCGGCUAACUACGUGCCAGCAGCCGCGGUAAUACGUAGGGGGCAAGCGUUAUCCGGAUUUACUGGGGGUAAAGGGAGCGUAGACGGCUGGCCAAGUCUGAAGUGAAAGCCCGGGGCUUAACCCCGGAACGGCUUUGGAAACUGGCCGGCUGGAGUGCUGGAGAGGCAG